AGGAAUAUUGGUCAAUGGACGAGAGUCUGAACCAGCCAAGUAGCGUGAAGGAUGACUGCCCUAUGGGUUGUAAACUUCUUUUAUACGGGAAUAAAGUGGAGUAUGCAUACUCCUUUGUAUGUACCGUAUGAAUAAGGAUCGGCUAACUCCGUGCCAGCAGCCGCGGUAAUACGGAGGAUCCGAGCGUUAUCCGGAUUUAUUGGGUUUAAAGGGAGCGUAGAUGGGUUGUUAAGUCAGUUGUGAAAGUUUGCGGCUCAACCGUAAAAUUGCAAUUGAUACUGGCAGUCUUGAGUACAGUUGAGGUAGGCGGAAUUCGUGGUGUAGCGGUGAAAUGCUUAGAUAUCACGAAGAACUCCGAUUGCGAAGGCAGCUUACUAACCUGUAACUGACAUUGAUGCUCGAAAGUGUGGGUAUCAAACAGGAUUAGAUACCCUGGUAGUCCACACGGUAAACGAUGAAUACUCGCUGUAGGCGAUAUACAGUCUGCGGCCAAGCGAAAGCAUUAAGUAUUCCACCUGGGGAGUACGCCGGCAACGGUGAAACUCAAAGGAAUUGACGGGGGCCCGCGCAAGCGGAGGAACAUGUGGUUUAAUUCGAUGAUACGCGAGGAACCUUACCCGGGCUUAAAUUGCAACCGAAUAUGGCGGAAACGCUAUAGCUAGCAAUAGCGGUUGUGAAGGUGCUGCAUGGUUGUCGUCAGCUCGUGCCGUGAGGUGUCGGCUUAAGUGCCAUAACGAGCGCAACCCUUGCCGAUAGUUACUAACAGGUUAUGCUGAGGACUCUGUCGGGACUGCCAUCGUAAGAUGUGAGGAAGGUGGGGAUGACGUCAAAUCAGCACGGCCCUUACGUCCGGGGCUACACACGUGUUACAAUGGGGGGUACAGAGGGCUGCUACCACGCAAGUGGAUGCCAAUCCCAAAAACCUCUCUCAGUUCGGAUUGAAGUCUGCAACCCGACUUCAUGAAGCUGGAUUCGCUAGUAAUCGCGCAUCAGCCACGGCGCGGUGAAUACGUUCCCG
This 1018-nucleotide ribosomal RNA is filed under the name uncultured bacterium. RNAcentral's name for it is "bacterial SSU rRNA". It matches the Rfam family "Bacterial small subunit ribosomal RNA", at positions 357 to 1376 of the family's 1533-position model. The record is from RNAcentral.